UCCCUGAUGGUCUAGUGGUUAAGAUUCUGCUCUCCCAAUGCAGGGAACUGGGGUUCAAUUCCCAGUCAGGGAA
This is a non-coding RNA of Bubalus bubalis (water buffalo), 73 nucleotides long. Lineage: Eukaryota; Metazoa; Chordata; Mammalia; Artiodactyla; Bovidae. The record is from the annotation of a RefSeq genome assembly.